UACGAAGGGGGCGAGCGUUGUUCGGAAUUACUGGGCGUAAAGCGCGCGUAGGCGGCUUGCCAAGUCGGAAGUGAAAGCCCAAGGCUCAACCUUGGAAUUGCUUUCGAAACUGGCGAGCUAGAGAAUGGUAGGGGAUAGUGGAAUUCCUGGUGUAGAGGUGAAAUUCGUAGAUAUCAGGAGGAACACCGGUGGCGAAAGCGACUAUCUGGACCAUUUCUGACGCUGAGGCGCGAAAGCGUGGGGAGCAAAC
Molecule: ribosomal RNA, 250 nt
Filed under: uncultured bacterium
Lineage: Bacteria
Description: partial 16S ribosomal RNA
Rfam family: Bacterial small subunit ribosomal RNA
Source: RNAcentral